This 502-nucleotide long non-coding RNA is filed under the name Callithrix jacchus (white-tufted-ear marmoset). RNAcentral's name for it is "lncRNA (ENSCJAG00000073732.1)". Lineage: Eukaryota; Metazoa; Chordata; Mammalia; Primates; Cebidae. The record is from RNAcentral.
AAAUAUUCCUUUUGAAUGGCAGACUGCAAUUGGAUGAAAUUGAAAUUUGAAGUCUAGAAGGUUUCAAAUACUUUAAUUCACGUAUAAGGAUGCUGAAGCCCAGGAAAGUGAAGUCAACAUCUUUCAGCAUCCCAGGGAAUCUAAAGUGUCAUUUCCUCUCUGGAAGAAAGGAAGCACAAAACAUGCUGGGUAUGUACUCUAAAUUUUCACUCAGUGUCAGUUCUAACUAUAAAUUUCUCCCAAGUCCUGUAUCUCUCUCAUUCUUUUUCCCCAACCCUCUCCAAAUCUUACAUCAAUACCUUUCUUUUAAAGUUAGGAUGCAGGAUUUUUACAGGAUGACACAUAUUAAAUUAAAAUAAAGCUGUGACUGUAAAACAAAUUACCUUCUAUCCACCCCCAAUUCCUUUAAUCUAUUGCUUUCCACUGGAUUAUGUUCUGUAAGUGAUUUUGUUGUAAUGGUUAGUUUUGUUUUCAGGAAAAUCACAUUUUGCAAAUAAUGAGA